RNAcentral lists this ribosomal RNA (127 nucleotides) under Clostridioides difficile. RNAcentral's name for it is "partial 23S ribosomal RNA". It matches the Rfam family "Bacterial large subunit ribosomal RNA", at positions 2798 to 2925 of the family's 2925-position model. The record is from RNAcentral. Lineage: Bacteria; Bacillati; Bacillota; Clostridia; Peptostreptococcales; Peptostreptococcaceae.
UUCAAGAUAAGAUUUCCCACCGCAAGGGUAAGACCCCAGAAAGACUAUCUGGUUGAUAGGUCGAAGGUGUAAGUGCAGCAAUGUAUUUAGCUUAUCGAUACUAAUAGGUCGAGGACUUGACCAAAUU